GCUUUUGGAGGGGGGUGCGUCCUAUCAGGUAGUUGGUGUGGUAAUAGCUCACCAAGCCUAUGACGGGUAGCCGGUCUGAGAGGAUGUCCGGCCGCAAUGGAACUGAGACACGGUCCAUACUCCUACGGGAGGCAGCAGUGGGGAAUCUUGCGCAAUGGGCGAAAGCCUGACGCAGCAAUCCCGCGUGAAGGAUGAAGCAUUAUGGUGUGUAAACUUCUUUUCUGGUGGAAGACGAAUGACGGUACACCAGGAAUAAGGGACGGCUAACUACGUGCCAGCAGCCGCGGUAAUACGUAGGUCCCAAGCGUUAUCCGGAAUUACUGGGCGUAAAGAGUCUGUAGCCGGGUUUGUAAGUCUGUUUUCAAAUCCUAUGGCUUAACCAUAGAGAGGGAAUGGAUACUGCAAACCUUGAGAUUAUUGGGGGUUGAUGGAAUUUCCGGUGGAGCGGUGAAAUGCGUUGAUAUCGGAAGGAACGCCAAAAGUGAAAGCAGUCAACUACAAUAAAUCUGACGGUCAGAGACGAAAGCUUGGGGAGCAAACGGGAUUAGAUACCCCGGUAGUCCAAGCCGUAAAUUAUGCAUGCUAGGUGUCUUGUUCACUUUAUGUGAGCGGGGUGCCGUAAUCUAACGAGUUAAGCAUGCCGCCUGGGUAGUAUAUUCGCAAGAAUGAAACUCAAAGGGAUAGGCGGGGGAACACACAAGCAGUGGAUUGUCUCGAUUAAUUGGAUAAUAAGCCAAGAAUCUUACCUAGACUUGACAUAUAUUGUGUCCUACGUGAAAGUGUAGUAAUCCCGAUUUUGUCGGGAUACGAUAUACAGGUGGUGCAUGGUCGUCGUCAGCUCGUGCCGCAAGAUGUCCAGUUAAGUCUGGGAACGAGCGCAACCCU
This 885-nucleotide ribosomal RNA is filed under the name uncultured organism. RNAcentral describes it as "bacterial SSU rRNA". It matches the Rfam family "Bacterial small subunit ribosomal RNA", at positions 217 to 1105 of the family's 1533-position model. The record is from RNAcentral.